Molecule: long non-coding RNA, 421 nt
Organism: Ostrea edulis (European flat oyster)
Lineage: Eukaryota; Metazoa; Mollusca; Bivalvia; Ostreida; Ostreidae
Exons: 3
Source: RefSeq, a predicted model, not a curated record
AUUGUGUGCAAUUUUAAGUCAUAUUUAUCAACUAAGGGAGCAGGUGCAGGUCUCGUGAAUUCUCUUACAAGUCUCUUUACAUGACUCUUUGACAUAGAAACAGAAUAAUUCAUACGGCAACUGAACACGAAAACCUCUUCACUUAAGAUGACAGAUUCAACGGUGAACAUACCUACUUCUGCUCAGCUUUCUGUGGAUCCCUCUGACGUAGGUAGCCUUUACCCGUACAUACACCAAAUGUGAUUGUCACACCAGAGUUAUUUUCUACCUGGAGUCGACCAGUGAACAUCUCCGACAGUAAUGUAUAGGAAAUGAGAAAUAAAUAAAAUCACGUUUUGAAACAUCAUGCAUUGCUCAAAAUUACAAAAUAUAUAUGUAUUGUAUGUUAGUGAAACAUUACGAAAGUUUAGAUAAUUUAAAC